RNAcentral lists this ribosomal RNA (584 nucleotides) under Salmonella enterica subsp. enterica serovar Weltevreden. Its description in RNAcentral is "partial 23S ribosomal RNA". It matches the Rfam family "Bacterial large subunit ribosomal RNA", at positions 711 to 1290 of the family's 2925-position model. Lineage: Bacteria; Pseudomonadati; Pseudomonadota; Gammaproteobacteria; Enterobacterales; Enterobacteriaceae. RNAcentral also lists the same sequence under 2 other names. The record is from RNAcentral.
AGACCCGAAACCCGGUGAUCUAGCCAUGGGCAGGUUGAAGGUUGGGUAACACUAACUGGAGGACCGAACCGACUAAUGUUGAAAAAUUAGCGGAUGACCUGUGGCUGGGGGUGAAAGGCCAAUCAAACCGGGAGAUAGCUGGUUCUCCCCGAAAGCUAUUUAGGUAGCGCCUCGUGAAUUCAUCUCCGGGGGUAGAGCACUGUUUCGGCUAGGGGGCCAUCCCGGCUUACCAACCCGAUGCAAACUGCGAAUACCGGAGAAUGUUAUCACGGGAGACACACGGCGGGUGCUAACGUCCGUCGUGAAGAGGGAAACAACCCAGACCGCCAGCUAAGGUCCCAAAGUCAUGGUUAAGUGGGAAACGAUGUGGGAAGGCCCAGACAGCCAGGAUGUUGGCUUAGAAGCAGCCAUCAUUUAAAGAAAGCGUAAUAGCUCACUGGUCGAGUCGGCCUGCGCGGAAGAUGUAACGGGGCUAAACCAUGCACCGAAGCUGCGGCAGCGACGCUUAUGCGUUGUUGGGUAGGGGAGCGUUCUGUAAGCCUGUGAAGGUGGCCUGUGAGGGUUGCUGGAGGUAUCAGAAGUGC